AAUAGUACGUACAUUCCGUUAAUAGUUUUUGGGGAAUAGUGCUGAAGUGGCAGUCCUUCGCCAAGUAUAAAUCUAUUAUUACGCCGGGUCGAUUUGCGG
Long non-coding RNA from Rhagoletis zephyria (snowberry fruit fly), 99 nucleotides. RefSeq lists it as uncharacterized. NCBI's taxonomy places the organism in Eukaryota, Metazoa, Arthropoda, Insecta, Diptera, Tephritidae. The record is from RefSeq and is a predicted model, not a curated record.